CAUGCAAGUCGAACGAGCUCUUAGGAGCUAGUGGCGGACGGGUGAGUAACACGUGAGAAUCUGCCUCAAGGUCGGGGACAACAGUUGGAAACGACUGCUAAUACCCGAUAUGCCUAAGGGUGAAAGAUUUAUUGCCUAGAGAAGAGCUCGCGUCCGAUUAGCUAGUUGGUAGAGUAAAAGCCUACCAAGGCGACGAUCGGUAGCUGGUCUGAGAGGAUGAGCAGCCACACUGGGACUGAGACACGGCCCAGACUCCUACGGGAGGCAGCAGUGGGGAAUUUUCCGCAAUGGGCGAAAGCCUGACGGAGCAAUACCGCGUGAGGGAGGAAGGCUUUUGGGUUGUAAACCUCUUUUGUCAGGGAAGAAAAUUUGACGGUACCUGAAGAAAAAGCAUCGGCUAACUCCGUGCCAGCAGCCGCGGUAAUACGGAGGAUGCAAGCGUUAUCCGGAAUAAUUGGGCGUAAAGGGUCCGCAGGUGGCCAUUCAAGUCUGCUGUCAAAGACCGUGGCUCAACCACGGAAAGGCAGUGGAAACUGUUUAGCUAGAGUACGGUAGGGGUAGAGGGAAUUCCCAGUGUAGCGGUGAAAUGCGUAGAUAUUGGGAAGAACACCGGUGGCGAAAGCGCUCUACUGGGCCGAAACUGACA
This 646-nucleotide ribosomal RNA is filed under the name uncultured bacterium. Its description in RNAcentral is "bacterial SSU rRNA". It matches the Rfam family "Bacterial small subunit ribosomal RNA", at positions 54 to 745 of the family's 1533-position model. The record is from RNAcentral.